UACGAAGGGUGCAAGCGUUAAUCGGAAUUACUGGGCGUAAAGCGUGCGUAGGCGGUUUCUUAAGUCUGCUGUGAAAUCCCCGGGCUCAACCUGGGAAUGGCGGUGGAUACUGGGCAGCUAGAGUGUGUCAGAGGAUGGUGGAAUUCCCGGUGUAGCGGUGAAAUGCGUAGAGAUCGGGAGGAACAUCAGUGGCGAAGGCGGCCAUCUGGGACAACACUGACGCUGAAGCACGAAAGCGUGGGGAGCAAACAGG
RNAcentral lists this ribosomal RNA (253 nucleotides) under uncultured bacterium. RNAcentral describes it as "partial 16S ribosomal RNA". It matches the Rfam family "Bacterial small subunit ribosomal RNA", at positions 524 to 776 of the family's 1533-position model. The record is from RNAcentral.